UCUGUAAGCCUGUGAAGGUGGCCUGUGAGGGUUGCUGGAGGUAUCAGAAGUGCGAAUGCUGACAUAAGUAACGAUAAAGCGGGUGAAAAGCCCGCUCGCCGGAAGACCAAGGGUUCCUGUCCAACGUUAAUCGGGGCAGGGUGAGUCGACCCCUAAGGCGAGGCCGAAAGGCGUAGUCGAUGGGAAACGGGUUAAUAUUCCCGUACUUGGUGUUACUGCGAAGGGGGGACGGAGAAGGCUAUGUUGGCCGGGCGACGGUUGUCCCGGUUUAAGCGUGUAGGCUGGUUUUC
RNAcentral lists this ribosomal RNA (290 nucleotides) under Salmonella enterica subsp. enterica serovar Alachua. RNAcentral's name for it is "partial 23S ribosomal RNA". It matches the Rfam family "Bacterial large subunit ribosomal RNA", at positions 1240 to 1533 of the family's 2925-position model. Lineage: Bacteria; Pseudomonadati; Pseudomonadota; Gammaproteobacteria; Enterobacterales; Enterobacteriaceae. The record is from RNAcentral.